RNAcentral lists this ribosomal RNA (2899 nucleotides) under Klebsiella pneumoniae. RNAcentral's name for it is "bacterial LSU rRNA". It matches the Rfam family "Bacterial large subunit ribosomal RNA". The record is from RNAcentral. Lineage: Bacteria; Pseudomonadati; Pseudomonadota; Gammaproteobacteria; Enterobacterales; Enterobacteriaceae.
UUAAGCGACUAAGCGUACACGGUGGAUGCCCUGGCAGUCAGAGGCGAUGAAGGACGUGCUAAUCUGCGAAAAGCGUCGGUAAGGUGAUAUGAACCGUUAUAACCGGCGAUGUCCGAAUGGGGAAACCCAGUGCAAUUCGUUGCACUAUCGUUAACUGAAUACAUAGGUUAACGAGGCGAACCGGGGGAACUGAAACAUCUAAGUACCCGAGGAAAAGAAAUCAACCGAGAUUCCCCCAGUAGCGGCGAGCGAACGGGGAGCAGCCCAGAGUCUGAAUCAGCUUGUGUGUUAGUGGAACGGUCUGGAAAGUCCGACGGUACAGGGUGAUAGUCCCGUACACCAAAAUGCACAGGUUGUGAACUCGAAGAGUAGGGCGGGACACGUGGUAUCCUGUCUGAAUAUGGGGGGACCAUCCUCCAAGGCUAAAUACUCCUGACUGACCGAUAGUGAACCAGUACCGUGAGGGAAAGGCGAAAAGAACCCCGGCGAGGGGAGUGAAAAAGAACCUGAAACCGUGUACGUACAAGCAGUGGGAGCACCUUCGGGUGUGACUGCGUACCUUUUGUAUAAUGGGUCAGCGACUUAUAUUCUGUAGCAAGGUUAACCGUAUAGGGGAGCCGCAGGGAAACCGAGUCUUAACUGGGCGUUAAGUUGCAGGGUAUAGACCCGAAACCCGGUGAUCUAGCCAUGGGCAGGUUGAAGGUUGGGUAACACUAACUGGAGGACCGAACCGACUAAUGUUGAAAAAUUAGCGGAUGACUUGUGGCUGGGGGUGAAAGGCCAAUCAAACCGGGAGAUAGCUGGUUCUCCCCGAAAGCUAUUUAGGUAGCGCCUCGUGAAUUCAUCUUCGGGGGUAGAGCACUGUUUCGGCUAGGGGGUCAUCCCGACUUACCAACCCGAUGCAAACUACGAAUACCGAAGAAUGUUAUCACGGGAGACACACGGCGGGUGCUAACGUCCGUCGUGAAGAGGGAAACAACCCAGACCGCCAGCUAAGGUCCCAAAGUCAUGGUUAAGUGGGAAACGAUGUGGGAAGGCACAGACAGCCAGGAUGUUGGCUUAGAAGCAGCCAUCAUUUAAAGAAAGCGUAAUAGCUCACUGGUCGAGUCGGCCUGCGCGGAAGAUGUAACGGGGCUAAACCAUGCACCGAAGCUGCGGCAGCGACACUAUGUGUUGUUGGGUAGGGGAGCGUUCUGUAAGCCUGCGAAGGUGACCUGUGAGGGUUGCUGGAGGUAUCAGAAGUGCGAAUGCUGACAUAAGUAACGAUAAAGCGGGUGAAAAGCCCGCUCGCCGGAAGACCAAGGGUUCCUGUCCAACGUUAAUCGGGGCAGGGUGAGUCGACCCCUAAGGCGAGGCCGAAAGGCGUAGUCGAUGGGAAACAGGUUAAUAUUCCUGUACUUGGUGUUACUGCGAAGGGGGGACGGAGAAGGCUAUGUUAGCCGGGCGACGGUUGUCCCGGUUUAAGCAUGUAGGCUGGUUGUCCAGGCAAAUCCGGAUAAUCAAGGCUGAGGUGUGAUGACGAGGCACUACGGUGCUGAAGUAACAAAUGCCCUGCUUCCAGGAAAAGCCUCUAAGCAUCAGGUAACAUUAAAUCGUACCCCAAACCGACACAGGUGGUCAGGUAGAGAAUACCAAGGCGCUUGAGAGAACUCGGGUGAAGGAACUAGGCAAAAUGGUGCCGUAACUUCGGGAGAAGGCACGCUGGUGUGUAGGUGAAGUCCCUGCGGAUGGAGCUGAGACCAGUCGAAGAUACCAGCUGGCUGCAACUGUUUAUUAAAAACACAGCACUGUGCAAACACGAAAGUGGACGUAUACGGUGUGACGCCUGCCCGGUGCCGGAAGGUUAAUUGAUGGGGUUAUCCGUAAGGAGAAGCUCUUGAUCGAAGCCCCGGUAAACGGCGGCCGUAACUAUAACGGUCCUAAGGUAGCGAAAUUCCUUGUCGGGUAAGUUCCGACCUGCACGAAUGGCGUAAUGAUGGCCAGGCUGUCUCCACCCGAGACUCAGUGAAAUUGAACUCGCUGUGAAGAUGCAGUGUACCCGCGGCAAGACGGAAAGACCCCGUGAACCUUUACUAUAGCUUGACACUGAACAUUGAGCCUUGAUGUGUAGGAUAGGUGGGAGGCUUUGAAGCGUGGACGCCAGUCUGCGUGGAGCCAACCUUGAAAUACCACCCUUUAAUGUUUGAUGUUCUAACGUUGGCCCCUUACCGGGGUUGCGGACAGUGUCUGGUGGGUAGUUUGACUGGGGCGGUCUCCUCCCAAAGCGUAACGGAGGAGCACGAAGGUUAGCUAAUCCUGGUCGGACAUCAGGAGGUUAGUGCAAUGGCAUAAGCUAGCUUGACUGCGAGCGUGACGGCGCGAGCAGGUGCGAAAGCAGGUCAUAGUGAUCCGGUGGUUCUGAAUGGAAGGGCCAUCGCUCAACGGAUAAAAGGUACUCCGGGGAUAACAGGCUGAUACCGCCCAAGAGUUCAUAUCGACGGCGGUGUUUGGCACCUCGAUGUCGGCUCAUCACAUCCUGGGGCUGAAGUAGGUCCCAAGGGUAUGGCUGUUCGCCAUUUAAAGUGGUACGCGAGCUGGGUUUAGAACGUCGUGAGACAGUUCGGUCCCUAUCUGCCGUGGGCGCUGGAGAAUUGAGGGGGGCUGCUCCUAGUACGAGAGGACCGGAGUGGACGCAUCACUGGUGUUCGGGUUGUCAUGCCAAUGGCACUGCCCGGUAGCUAAAUGCGGAAGAGAUAAGUGCUGAAAGCAUCUAAGCACGAAACUUGCCCCGAGAUGAGUUCUCCCUGAGACUUUAAGUCUCCUGAAGGAACGUUAAAGACGAUGACGUUGAUAGGCCGGGUGUGUAAGCGCAGCGAUGCGUUGAGCUAACCGGUACUAAUGAACCGUGAGGCUUAACCUU